CUAGUUAAUUAGAUCGAUCAGGUUUUUCGAUCCGGCCCGGGCCCGGCCUUUAGUUUCAUCUUCUUCUUGGUCAUGAAGUCAAAAGCUAAUAAAAAGGGGCUGAUUAAUCCCAAUCCCCUACCAUAUGCUGAAUUACAUCUAUACUUGUAGCAUGUUUUCUUUGAUCUCUCUUGUGUGUUUGACAUGAAGCUUCUGUGAUCUUCAUUUGUAUGCACAGUUUUUGAAGGUUCAGGGCAUGCAUCAUGGUGAAGCAAGCUGGGUAAGAAGAGAAGACCAGAUCGAGAAAGGAAGCAAGCUAGCUAGCACGGGGUUGGGUUAGGUUAGGUGGAGAUGGCCAACAGGUGGUGGGACGAAGGGCGGCUGGCGGAGGCGCCGGCAGCCAGCAACCAGAACCAGCAGCAGCUGGAGGAGGCCAUGGCCAUGGCGGCAACCAAGGUGGACGGGGAGAGCAGCCACAGCGGCGGAGGGAGCGGGCAGGACGAGGAGCCCAAGGAGGGUGCGGUGGNNNN
This 509-nucleotide long non-coding RNA is filed under the name Hordeum vulgare. RNAcentral's name for it is "long non-coding RNA (HVUL_LNC009881)". Lineage: Eukaryota; Viridiplantae; Streptophyta; Magnoliopsida; Poales; Poaceae. The record is from RNAcentral.